RNAcentral lists this ribosomal RNA (264 nucleotides) under Escherichia coli. Its description in RNAcentral is "partial 23S ribosomal RNA". It matches the Rfam family "Bacterial large subunit ribosomal RNA", at positions 1292 to 1559 of the family's 2925-position model. The record is from RNAcentral. Lineage: Bacteria; Pseudomonadati; Pseudomonadota; Gammaproteobacteria; Enterobacterales; Enterobacteriaceae.
GAAUGCUGACAUAAGUAACGAUAAAGCGGGUGAAAAGCCCGCUCGCCGGAAGACCAAGGGUUCCUGUCCAACGUUAAUCGGGGCAGGGUGAGUCGACCCCUAAGGCGAGGCCGAAAGGCGUAGUCGAUGGGAAACAGGUUAAUAUUCCUGUACUUGGUGUUACUGCGAAGGGGGGACGGAGAAGGCUAUGUUGGCCGGGCGACGGUUGUCCCGGUUUAAGCGUGUAGGCUGAUUUUCCAGGCAAAUCCGGAAAAUCAAGGCUGA